Schistosoma mansoni is the source of this 48-nucleotide non-coding RNA. The record is from Rfam. NCBI's taxonomy places the organism in Eukaryota, Metazoa, Platyhelminthes, Trematoda, Strigeidida, Schistosomatidae.
AUCCAUAUGAUGAAUCCCAGAUAGGAUGGAACGCGCGUCAAACUGGAU